Drosophila biarmipes is the source of this 2338-nucleotide long non-coding RNA. RefSeq lists it as uncharacterized. The record is from RefSeq and is a predicted model, not a curated record. The transcript is spliced from 4 exons. Lineage: Eukaryota; Metazoa; Arthropoda; Insecta; Diptera; Drosophilidae.
CACUUUAAGUGAAUCCAAAAUAUUAAAUGAAUAAAAAUUAUGCGAACACACUGACAAUACAACGAUAAUACAAAAAUCGUUCUGCGCUAAGUCGCCGAUCUCGUCCAGUUCCGAUUGGUGACGUAACUCCACCACCUGCCACGCUCGACUGAGUCAAUCCGCCGAAAUCUAGACAGGCCUUUUUUUGCAGUCAAUUCUGUAAGGGCAAAGAUUUAUUCAGUUCACGGGUUCAUCUAAGUAGCUGUCGGCUGGAGCCCCAGGUUCUUCGAUUGCGUAACCUUCGCCUAAAAAAAUGCAUUCCUUCAAAAACCUUGGCCAUGCCCUAACUAGCGGAACCUGGCCACAAAUUUCCUCAUCUCGCCUUGGCUGGCCUGAAACAGGAUUCCUAAUUGAUUUUUUUCUGCACGAGCUGCUACUGCUCGCGUCUAAACCAAAUCUGAACUGAUCUAGAGCUGCUAUACUAUCGAUGGCACUAUCGAUAUAUCCAAUUUGGAUAUAUGGACACUGACAUUACCAAUGGUCACUGACAUUGCAACAAAACAUGAGGUUUGGCUGCGAAAUUUGGCUUAACUUAAAUUGAAAGCUGGUGGUGGCACUAAGCAUGUACAAGUUUGCGAAUCUCACGAGAAAAGCUAAUUAUAAUAAUUCUUGGUUAUAUAUACGACGUAAUUGUUAUUUAUCUGUAUGUAUGUAUGCAGACGUAGAUAUCAACAAACCAGCCGAAAACAGUUCUGACGAAGAGAACAAUGGACCGAAAAAAUCAGGAGUUCAGAAAUCAAAAGUGUGGAAGUUUUUUACUAGGUCAAAUGAUGGUAAAGUACGUAUUUUGUCAUAAGGUGAACAAGACAAGAGGAAACACAUCGAAUCUUUUCGACCACAUGAAGCGCAUACAUCCAACAUUAGGCGCUGAUGAUUUGCCGUCGACUUCAAAAAAAUAGAUUCUUUUGUAACUACAUCCUAUGAUUCAAAUUCCCACAGAAAAGCAGAACUUGAUAGGGCUGUCAUGAAAUACGUAGUCACAGAAGUGCGCCCGUUCUCAGUUGUGGCAGACACUGGCUUUCGCGAGAUGCUGAAUGUUUUUGUUCCCCGGUAUAAGUUACCCUCUCGAAAGACCUUGCAAAAUGUUUUGAUGGCAGAUCAAUUCGAGGAUAAGCAAAGGAAACUAAUGGAUAUAGUAAAAGGAAUAGAAUUUCGCGCUAUUACCACGGAUCUAUGGAUAUCACAAGCUAAUAAAGGAUAGUUUGCAAGCCGUUUUUGAUAAGUGGGACAUAUCAUCCAAAAUUGUGGCAAUAGUUACAGACAAUGCGAGCUCCAUGAUUGAGGCGUGUGAAUUGCUUCAAAAAAGAUAUUUACAUGUUUUGCUCAUACAUUAAAUUUAGUGGUGCAAGGAUGUAUCAAGCUAUAUAUCAUAUAAAAAGCUGAAAGACUACCAGGAUGGGAAAACCAAAUAUAAUCUGAAGCAGGAAGUUCCUACUCGAUGGAACAGUGCUUACCUUAUAAAAGAAAGGAUUUUAUAAACCCAUGAGGAAAUCGGCAAAGUUUUGUUGAGUACAUCAAGAGCUCCAUAACCGUUCACUGUAGACGAAUUGGACAUCCUAACGGACCUGGUACAUUUACUUGCUUCAUUGGAUACUGCAACAAAUCAAGUAUCUUCCAAUUCUACAGUGACGGUUUCAUUAUGUAUUCCCAUAACAUGGUCUUUACAUACUUUGGACACUUUAAAACCGAGCCUUAAGUCUAGUGAGGGAUUAGCAGCCUGUACAUUUUUGAUGGACAGCAUUGUCACCAGGAUGAAUAAGUAUAAAGAGCGUUCUUUGCCGCGAAUCGGAACAUUGCUAGACAUAAGAUUAAAAAACAAGGCUUCCAUUCUCCUUUUAACGUUGUACAGACCGAAAAGUUUUUGGGAAAUGAGGUCACCGUCAUUAACAACUCCUGUGAUUCCGUACCUUCUCAAAACCGCCAAACCCUAUUCACAUUUCUUCAAAAAAAUAUUAGUGAAUUACCAACAUCGAAAAGAACAGAUGCGAUUAUCGAUCUCAAAAAGUAUAUUAAUCUAAAGCACUGUGAAGAAAAUGUAGAUCCCCUAGAAUUCUGAAAGCAUAAUGAAUCUAAUUUUAAAAAAAUUAGUGCCGAAAUUUUUAUGUGUUCCCGCAACCUCGACUGCGUUGGAAUGUAUGUUCGGCAAGGCUAAACUCGUUAUAAAUAACCGCAGAGCUUCGCUUAAGGCGAAUAAUGUGAACAUUUUGUUAUUUUUGCAAAAAAAAUUCCUGAAUAGAAUAUUUUUUUUUUUUGAAUUUUGUAUUAAAAAUGACAUGAAUUUUUCAUGAUCUUUGUUGAA